UACGGAAGGCAGCAGUGGGGAAUAUUGCACAAUGGGCGAAAGCCUGAUGCAGCUAUGCCGCGUGUAUGAAGAAGGCCUUAGGGUUGUAAAGUACUUUCAUCGGGGAGGAAAAAACAAAACUAAUAAUUUUAUUUCUUGACGUUACCCGAAAAAGAAGCACCGGCUAACUCCGUGCCAGCAGCCGCGGUAAUACGGAGGGUGCUAGCGUUAAUCAGAAUUACUGGGCGUAAAGAGCACGUAGGUGGUUUUUUUAAGUCAGAUGUGAAAUCCCUGGGCUUAACCUAGGAACUGCAUUUUGAAACUGAAAUACUAGAGUAUCGUAGAGGGAGGUAGAAUUCUAGGUGUAGCGGUGAAAUGCGUAGAUAUCUGGAGGAAUACCUGUGGCGAAAGCGGCCUCCUAAACGAAUACUGACACUGAGGUGCGAAAAGCGUGGGGAGCAAAACAGGGAUUAAGAUACC
RNAcentral lists this ribosomal RNA (459 nucleotides) under uncultured bacterium. Its description in RNAcentral is "bacterial SSU rRNA". It matches the Rfam family "Bacterial small subunit ribosomal RNA", at positions 340 to 786 of the family's 1533-position model. The record is from RNAcentral.